GAUUAACGUCAGUUUUAUUAUGGGGAGAGAUACCGUAAAAGGUGGUGUGUCUUGCAGCCCAAUCAUAUAUUCCAACUAGCAUCCAACGGCCGCUUACUAGGCAUGAAUCGAUCACUGAUCGCUACAUAUAAUACCCGAAAUCUGACACAGUGUGAAAAUGCGAAGAAGUUUUUUAUAUUUGUCUGCAUCGCUACAGUUGGUCUGAUACUGAC
Molecule: non-coding RNA, 212 nt
Organism: Paramormyrops kingsleyae
Lineage: Eukaryota; Metazoa; Chordata; Actinopteri; Osteoglossiformes; Mormyridae
Source: RefSeq, a predicted model, not a curated record